GUAGUCUCGCACAGAUGCAUAUCAAUAAGCGGAGGAAAAGAAACUAACAAGGAUUCCCCUAGUAACGGCGAGUGAAGCGGGAAGAGCUCAAAUUUGAAAUCUUAAAGGGUUUCCCUUUACGAAUUGUAGUUUAAAGAAGUGUUUUCUGUUGAGGUUUUGGUAAAAGUUCUUUGGAAUAGGACAUCAUAGAGGGUGAGAAUCCCGUAUUUGACCUUUACUUUCAACUUUGUGAUACACUCUCAAAGAGUCGGAUUGUUUGGGAAUGCAGUCCAAAAUGGGUGGUAAAUUUCAUCUAAAGCUAAAUAUUGGCGAGAGACCGAUAGCGAACAAGUACCGUGAGGGAAAGAUGAAAAGAACUUUGAAAAGAGAGUUAAACAGUACGUGAAAUUGUCAAAAGGGAAGCGUUUGACACCAGUGUUGUUUUUCUGAAAAUCAAUUAAAGAACUGUUUAUGCUAAGUUGUUUAGACUUUAUCAGCUAUCUGUUUAGUUUUGAGCUUUUCUUUAAUGCACUUUUCAGUUAACAAGUCAACAUCAAUUUCUUUUGCUGUAAAAAAGCUUGAGGAAGGUGGCUUGAGAUUCGUCUUAAGUGUUUAUAGCCUCUUGCCUAUGCAGUCGGAGAGAUUGAGGUCUGCAGCGUAGAUCCUUCGGGGCUAAAUGCAUUUGUGCUAAGUUAUAGCAUUUUAUAGACAACUUGUUGACUAUGAUUUGUCUUGUAGCUUACUCGCUUAUGUUAUUUUACCUACGCUUAGGAUGUUGACGCAUGAGAUAUACGC
RNAcentral lists this ribosomal RNA (774 nucleotides) under uncultured Neocallimastigales. Its description in RNAcentral is "partial large subunit ribosomal RNA". It matches the Rfam family "Eukaryotic large subunit ribosomal RNA", at positions 24 to 647 of the family's 3401-position model. The record is from RNAcentral. Lineage: Eukaryota; Fungi; Neocallimastigomycota; Neocallimastigomycetes; Neocallimastigales.